CCUACGGGAGGCAGCAGUAGGGAAUAUUGCUCAAUGGGGGAAACCCUGAAGCAGCAACGCCGCGUGGAGGAUGAAGGUUUUCGGAUUGUAAACUCCUUUUGUUAGAGAAGAUAAUGACGGUAUCUAACGAAUAAGCACCGGCUAACUCCGUGCCAGCAGCCGCGGUAAUACGGAGGGUGCAAGCGUUCCUCGGAAUCACUGGGCGUAAAGAGCGCGUAGGCGGGAUAGCAAGUCAGAUGUGAAAGCCUAUGGCUUAACCAGAGAACUGCAUUUGAAACUGUGAGACUAGAGUAUGGAAGAGGUGAGUGGAAGUCUAUGUGUAGGGGUGAAAUGCGUAGAUAUAAGGAAGAAUACCAGUGGCGAAAGCGACCCUCUGGAAUGUAACUGACGCUGAGGUGCGAAAGCGUGGGUAGCAAACAGGAUUAGAUACCCCAGUAGUC
This 440-nucleotide ribosomal RNA is filed under the name uncultured bacterium. RNAcentral's name for it is "partial 16S ribosomal RNA". It matches the Rfam family "Bacterial small subunit ribosomal RNA", at positions 338 to 795 of the family's 1533-position model. The record is from RNAcentral.